RNAcentral lists this long non-coding RNA (342 nucleotides) under Homo sapiens (human). RNAcentral's name for it is "HSALNT0353807". Lineage: Eukaryota; Metazoa; Chordata; Mammalia; Primates; Hominidae. The record is from RNAcentral.
AGAUUACAGCGCGGCCUUUGUCGGGCGGGCCUGGCUCCCGGCCAGGCGCCCAAACAAUAAACAAUCCCCCGGGUGCGGGCAGGGGGUUUCGCCGGCCGCAGCCAGGCUCUAGGUGUGCGCUGGCGAAUAUCUCUAUCAACCGCGAGGAGGGACCGGGCCGGGGGCGCGGGCGCCGCGGCGGGCGCUCUUACCUUCCACCCACAGCUCCUCCACGUUGGUCUCGAGGUUCGCUGCUUUUAAUCCCACCGCGAAGGCCCCAAAUAUGAGGAGGCCCACAACCAAGAACUUGCCGCAGUUUUUUUGAAUGUAACAACCCAGUUUAAAUAAGAGUCUCUGAAACUU